RNAcentral lists this ribosomal RNA (253 nucleotides) under uncultured bacterium. Its description in RNAcentral is "partial 16S ribosomal RNA". It matches the Rfam family "Bacterial small subunit ribosomal RNA", at positions 524 to 776 of the family's 1533-position model. The record is from RNAcentral.
UACGAAGGGGGCUAGCGUUGUUCGGAAUUACUGGGCGUAAAGCGCGCGCAGGCGGUUCUUCAAGUCAGAGGUGAAAGCCCAGAGCUCAACUCUGGAAUGGCCUUUGAGACUAGAGAACUUGGGUACGGGAGAGGUGAGUGGAAUUCCGAGUGUAGAGGUGAAAUUCGUAGAUAUUCGGAAGAACACCAGUGGCGAAGGCGGCUCGCUGGGCCGGCCCUGACGCUGAGGCGCGAAAGCGUGGGGAGCGAACAGG